This is a long non-coding RNA of Bos taurus (domestic cattle), 925 nucleotides long. The record is from Ensembl. NCBI's taxonomy places the organism in Eukaryota, Metazoa, Chordata, Mammalia, Artiodactyla, Bovidae.
AAAACUUCUUACAUUUGCUUUUCUUAAUUCUUAGUCUGGGGGCUUCCCUGGUGGCUCAGACAGUAAAGAGUCUGCCUGCAAUGCAGGAGACCCGGGUUCAAUCCCUGAGUCAGGAAGAUCCCUGGAGAAGGAAAUGGCAACCCACUCCAGUAUUCUUGCCUGGAGAAUCCCAUGGACAGAGGAGCCUGGCAGGAUACAGUCCAUGGGGUUGCAAAGAGUCAGACAUGACUGAGUGACUUCACUUUCUUUCUUUCUAGAGUUGAGGAACAACUAUGGCCUGUGUUCUAGGAGCCUUGUCAGAGUUGCCCUUCACAGUGUGAAAGUUGCUGGCCUCGGGGUGAUUUUUAGACACCAGAGUAGCAAAUUCUUCACUGCCUGAACCACCAGCGAAGCUGGCACACGGAACUGAAUAUGACCUUCUAAGGUGUCUGAGCUGGAAACUGCGCUGUCAGGAAGGACUGACCCGGCGGGGACCUCCGCCUUCGCACACGGCCGAUUCCUGUAACUUCCCCAGGAGCAUCUGAAGCAAGGGCCAGAGGAUGACCAGGUCCGUGUCCUGUCACCUGCCCCUCAGGGAGGGGCCUUAGGCUUCCGGUCGGUGCUGGCCUUGCCCAGGGUGGACUUCGACCUCAGAGGCUGCGGUCGUCGGCUUCUUGACGGUACAGGCAACUUCCAUGUCCUGAAAGGGAAGCAUUCCGUGUCUUAGUUUCGAAUGUUCUCAGCGUUUACUGAGGUUGGAGGUUGGAGGACACCUUUCUCCUCACAGUUCGGCUCUUGGAGGAGUCGAGGCCGUCGACCCCUGUGCCCUCCAGCGUCGCCUCCAGGGCUGACCUUUGUGAUGGUCUGCAAACAACACAGAAGAGCCGCCCGAGUGGCGACUGCUGGGGCGGCUGGGCAGAGGCCGCCGCCGCAGGGGGCCGCCCGG